UUAAUUGUCAUGUCAGUCUUUGUUUAACAAGCACUUUGUCUAAGUCUUUGUUCACAUGUGGAUAUCAGAAAUCUCAGCAAAGAUUUUUCGUAACAAAACAUAUUUUUAAAAUCCGAAUUGAUACACAAUAUUCAAAAAGUACUUGACGCAAAAAAGCAAACAAAAGACUGAAAUUUCAAAUUAUUCAAAAAGUAUCAUUGUCGAUGACGGUAGGUACUAGGUAAGGUCCACCAAUUGGAUCUGGGUUUUGGAAAUAUUCCGAUGCGGCGAUGGUGAGGUUGAAGGUGGUGGUGGGAUUUGGACAAAAAUAAAAAUAAAAAUAAAAAUAGUGUUUGUUGGAUUAAUUAAGAACAUCUAUAAUUAUGUUUUUUAUUUUUAUUUUUAGCUAAAAACACUUGAACCCUAUUGGAUUAGUUUAGUUUUGAUUUGGUUUUGGGACUGUCGAUCCG
RNAcentral lists this long non-coding RNA (449 nucleotides) under Prunus persica (peach). RNAcentral describes it as "long non-coding RNA (PPER_LNC002380)". The record is from RNAcentral. Lineage: Eukaryota; Viridiplantae; Streptophyta; Magnoliopsida; Rosales; Rosaceae.